RNAcentral lists this ribosomal RNA (646 nucleotides) under uncultured fungus. RNAcentral describes it as "eukaryotic LSU rRNA". The stretch from base 240 to 393 matches the Rfam family "5.8S ribosomal RNA". Lineage: Eukaryota; Fungi. The record is from RNAcentral.
AAGUCGUAACAAGGUUUCCGUAGGUGAACCUGCGGAAGGAUCAUUAUCGUAUAACUGGCGACGCAGGCGCGCCCCGCUCCGGUCAAGCGGCCGUGCAGCGGGUGCGCCUGAGCCGCUCAAAACCACAAACCCACCGUGCACUCUUGUCGGCGGAGGGCCCUCAGGGCCCCGAGCCGGAUCACAAACUCCAAACAAUAAAAGAAUGUCUAGCGGACGUUGUGCCGCCCAAAACUAAAAACAACUUUCAACAACGGAUCUCUUGGCUCUCGCAUCGAUGAAGAACGCAGCGAAAUGCGAUAAGUAAUGUGAAUUGCAGAAUUCAGUGAAUCAUCGAAUCUUUGAACGCACCUUGCGCUCCUUGGUAUUCCGAGGAGCAUGCCUGUUUGAGUGUCUUGAAGUCAUCAACCCCUCCCGUUUUGUGCGGAGAGGUCGGUUGGACAUUGGGGGCUUGCUGCCGCUGGGCGGCUCCCCUCAAAUGCGUCGGUUGGGCCUGCGGGUCGAACUCGGUUGGGCGUUGUACCAUCCUCGCUCUGGUCCGAGAUGUUCCCCAUUUGUCGAGCCCUUCCAAGACCCCCUGUGGAGUGGUGGUCAAGCUGAAACUUUGAAAUCUGACCUCAAAUCAGGUAGGACUACCCGCUGAACUUGA